GAUGAACGCUAGCUACAGGCUUAACACAUGCAAGUCGAGGGGCAGCAUGGUCUUAGCUUGCUAAGGCCGAUGGCGACCGGCGCACGGGUGAGUAACACGUAUCCAACCUGCCGUCUACUCUUGGACAGCCUUCUGAAAGGAAGAUUAAUACAAGAUGGCAUCAUGAGUCCGCAUGUUCACAUGAUUAAAGGUAUUCCGGUAGACGAUGGGGAUGCGUUCCAUUAGAUAGUAGGCGGGGUAACGGCCCACCUAGUCUUCGAUGGAUAGGGGUUCUGAGAGGAAGGUCCCCCACAUUGGAACUGAGACACGGUCCAAACUCCUACGGGAGGCAGCAGUGAGGAAUAUUGGUCAAUGGGCGAGAGCCUGAACCAGCCAAGUAGCGUGAAGGAUGACUGCCCUAUGGGUUGUAAACUUCUUUUAUAAAGGAAUAAAGUCGGGUAUGCAUACCCGUUUGCAUGUACUUUAUGAAUAAGGAUCGGCUAACUCCGUGCCAGCAGCCGCGGUAAUACGGAGGAUCCGAGCGUUAUCCGGAUUUAUUGGGUUUAAAGGGAGCGUAGAUGGAUGUUUAAGUCAGUUGUGAAAGUUUGCGGCUCAACCGUAAAAUUGCAGUUGAUACUGGAUAUCUUGAGUGCAGUUGAGGCAGGCGGAAUUCGUGGUGUAGCGGUGAAAUGCUUAGAUAUCACGAAGAACUCCGAUUGCGAAGGCAGCCUGCUAAGCUGCAACUGACAUUGAGGCUCGAAAGUGUGGGUAUCAAACAGGAUUAGAUACCCUGGUAGUCCACACGGUAAACGAUGAAUACUCGCUGUUUGCGAUAUACAGCAAGCGGCCAAGCGAAAGCGUUAAGUAUUCCACCUGGGGAGUACGCCGGCAACGGUGAAACUCAAAGGAAUUGACGGGGGCCCGCACAAGCGGAGGAACAUGUGGUUUAAUUCGAUGAUACGCGAGGAACCUUACCCGGGCUUAAAUUGCAGAUGAAUUACGGUGAAAGCCGUAAGCCGCAAGGCAUCUGUGAAGGUGCCGCAUGGUUGUCGUCAGCUCGUGCCGUGAGGUGUCGGCUUAAGUGCCAUAACGAGCGCAACCCUUGUUGUCAGUUACUAACAGGUCAUGCUGAGGACUCUGACAAGACUGCCAUCGUAAGAUGUGAGGAAGGUGGGGAUGACGUCAAAUCAGCACGGCCCUUACGUCCGGGGCUACACACGUGUUACAAUGGGGGGUACAGAGGGCCGCUACCACGCGAGUGGAUGCCAAUCCCAAAAACCUCUCUCAGUUCGGACUGGAGUCUGCAACCCGACUCCACGAAGCUGGAUUCGCUAGUAAUCGCGCAUCAGCCACGGCGCGGUGAAUACGUUCCCGGGCCUUAUACACACCGCCCGUCAAGCCAUGGGAGCCGGGGGUACCUGAAGUGCGUAACCGCGAGGAGCGCCCUAGGGUAAAACUGGUGACUGGGGCU
This 1450-nucleotide ribosomal RNA is filed under the name uncultured bacterium. RNAcentral's name for it is "bacterial SSU rRNA". It matches the Rfam family "Bacterial small subunit ribosomal RNA". The record is from RNAcentral.